AAUUUGAAAUCUGGCAGUCUUCGAUUGUCCGAGUUGUAAUCUAUAGAGGCGUUUUCCGUGCCGGACCGUGUCCAAGUCUCCUGGAAAGGAGUAUCAAAGAGGGUGAUAAUCCCGUACUUAACACGACCACCGGUGCUCUGUGAUACGUCUUCUACGAGUCGAGUUGUUUGGGAAUGCAGCUCAAAAUGGGUGGUGAAUUCCAUCUAAAGCUAAAUAUUGGCGAGAGACCGAUAGCGAACAAGUACCGUGAGGGAAAGAUGAAAAGCACUUUGGAAAGAGAGUUAAACAGUACGUGAAAUUGUUGAAAGGGAAACGAUUGAAGUCAGUCGUGUUCUUUGGAUUCAGCCAGUUCUGCUGGUCUACUUCCUUGGAACGGGUCAACAUCAGUUUUGUCCGGUGGAUAAAGGUAGUAGGAAUGUGACUUCUCCGGAAGUGUUAUAGCCUAUUAUCACAUACACUGGGUGAGACUGAGGACUGCAGCUCGCCUUUAUGGCCGGCCUUCGGGCACGUUCGAGCUUAGGAUGUUGACAUAAUGGCUUUAAACGACCCGUCUUGAAAC
This 559-nucleotide ribosomal RNA is filed under the name Trichosporon asahii. Its description in RNAcentral is "eukaryotic LSU rRNA". It matches the Rfam family "Eukaryotic large subunit ribosomal RNA", at positions 112 to 660 of the family's 3401-position model. Lineage: Eukaryota; Fungi; Basidiomycota; Tremellomycetes; Trichosporonales; Trichosporonaceae. The record is from RNAcentral.